CACGCCGUAAACGAUGGGUGCUAGGUGUCACGGGUAUUGACCCCUGUGGUGCCGCAGCUAACGCAUUAAGCACCCCGCCUGGGAAGUACGGCCGCAAGGCUAAAACUCAAAGGAAUUGACGGGGGCCCGCACAAGCGGUGGAGCAUGUGGUUUAAUUCGACGCAACGCGAAGAACCUUACCUGGGCUAGAAAUGACAAGAAUCCUGCGGAAACGUGGGAGUGCUCGCAAGAGAGCUUGUUGUUAGGUGC
This 249-nucleotide ribosomal RNA is filed under the name uncultured Pseudomonadota bacterium. RNAcentral's name for it is "uncultured proteobacterium partial 16S ribosomal RNA". It matches the Rfam family "Bacterial small subunit ribosomal RNA", at positions 796 to 1041 of the family's 1533-position model. Lineage: Bacteria; Pseudomonadati; Pseudomonadota. The record is from RNAcentral.